RNAcentral lists this transfer RNA (43 nucleotides) under Pyrus spinosa. Its description in RNAcentral is "tRNA-Ile". The record is from RNAcentral. Lineage: Eukaryota; Viridiplantae; Streptophyta; Magnoliopsida; Rosales; Rosaceae.
GGGCUAUUAGCUCAGUGGUAGAGCGCGCCCCUGAUAAUUGCGU